This 1154-nucleotide ribosomal RNA is filed under the name Staphylococcus pseudintermedius. Its description in RNAcentral is "partial 23S ribosomal RNA". It matches the Rfam family "Bacterial large subunit ribosomal RNA", at positions 380 to 1539 of the family's 2925-position model. The record is from RNAcentral. Lineage: Bacteria; Bacillati; Bacillota; Bacilli; Caryophanales; Staphylococcaceae.
CGAAAACGAAUUCUCUCUUGAGUGGAUCCUGAGUACGACGGAGCACGUGAAAUUCCGUCGGAAUCUGGGAGGACCAUCUCCUAAGGCUAAAUACUCUCUAGUGACCGAUAGUGAACCAGUACCGUGAGGGAAAGGUGAAAAGUACCCCGGAAGGGGAGUGAAAGAGAACUUGAAACCGUGUGCUUACAAGUAGUCAGAGCCCGUUAAUGGGUGAUGGCGUGCCUUUUGUAGAAUGAACCGGCGAGUUACGAUCUGAUGCAAGGUUAAGCAGAAAAUGUGGAGCCGUAGCGAAAGCGAGUCUGAAUAGGGCGAAUGAGUAUUUGGUCGUAGACCCGAAACCAGGUGAUCUACCCUUGGUCAGGUUGAAGUUCAGGUAACACUGAAUGGAGGACCGAACCGACUUACGUUGAAAAGUGAGCGGAUGAACUGAGGGUAGCGGAGAAAUUCCAAUCGAACUUGGAGAUAGCUGGUUCUCUCCGAAAUAGCUUUAGGGCUAGCCUCAAGUGAUGAUUAUUGGAGGUAGAGCACUGUUUGGACGAGGGGCCCCUCUCGGGUUACCGAAUUCAGACAAACUCCGAAUGCCAAAUAAUUUAACUUGGGAGUCAGAAUGUGGGUGAUAAGGUCCAUAUUCGAAAGGGAAACAGCCCAGACCACCAGCUAAGGUCCCAAAAUAUAUGUUAAGUGGAAAAGGAUGUGGCGUUGCCCAGACAACUAGGAUGUUGGCUUAGAAGCAGCCAUCAUUUAAAGAGUGCGUAAUAGCUCACUAGUCGAGUGACACUGCGCCGAAAAUGUACCGGGGCUAAACAUAUUACCGAAGCUGUGGAUUGUCCUUUGGACAAUGGUAGGAGAGCGUUCUAAGGGCGUUGAAGCAUGAUCGCAAGGACAUGUGGAGCGCUUAGAAGUGAGAAUGCCGGUGUGAGUAGCGAAAGACGGGUGAGAAUCCCGUCCACCGAUUGACUAAGGUUUCCAGAGGAAGGCUCGUCCGCUCUGGGUUAGUCGGGUCCUAAGCUGAGGCCGACAGGCGUAGGCGAUGGAUAACAGGUUGAUAUUCCUGUACCACCAUUAUUCGUUUUAAGCGAUGGGGGGACGCAGUAGGAUAGGCGAAGCGUGCUGUUGGAGUGCACGUCCAAGCAGUGAGAUUGAGUGUUAGGCAA